This 429-nucleotide ribosomal RNA is filed under the name Gemmatimonadota bacterium. RNAcentral's name for it is "Gemmatimonadetes bacterium partial 16S ribosomal RNA". It matches the Rfam family "Bacterial small subunit ribosomal RNA", at positions 355 to 776 of the family's 1533-position model. The record is from RNAcentral. Lineage: Bacteria; Pseudomonadati; Gemmatimonadota.
UAGGGAAUCUUCGGCAAUGGACGAAAGUCUGACCGAGCAACGCCGCGUGAGUGAAGAAGGUUUUCGGAUCGUAAAACUCUGUUGUUAGAGAAGAACAAGGACGUUAGUAACUGAACGUCCCCUGACGGUAUCUAACCAGAAAGCCACGGCUAACUACGUGCCAGCAGCCGCGGUAAUACGUAGGUGGCAAGCGUUGUCCGGAUUUAUUGGGCGUAAAGCGAGCGCAGGCGGUUUCUUAAGUCUGAUGUGAAAGCCCCCGGCUCAACCGGGGAGGGUCAUUGGAAACUGGGGGACUUGAGUGCAGAAGAGGAGAGUGGAAUUCCAUGUGUAGCGGUGAAAUGCGUAGAUAUAUGGAGGAACACCAGUGGCGAAGGCGGCUCUCUGGUCUGUAACUGACGCUGGGGCUCGAAAGCGUGGGGAGCAAACAGG